This is a long non-coding RNA of Gasterosteus aculeatus aculeatus (three-spined stickleback), 308 nucleotides long. NCBI's taxonomy places the organism in Eukaryota, Metazoa, Chordata, Actinopteri, Perciformes, Gasterosteidae. The record is from Ensembl.
UGCAGCUUCACGAUUGCUACAUUAAGAAGAUUUGCUUUGCCAAAAAACAAUCCAAAAUAACCUCCUGAGUGGGAGAAUCACGUCAAUGCGGAUAAAAAAGGUUCAGGUUCAGGGAUGAAGGUGUUUCUUGGUGGGAAACAGUAAUUCUGACGGAAAACAUCCCAGACUCUCUUCAGGGAAGGGAACUGAGAAAGCGUCCUCCCAGUUCGGACUGCAGGCCCCUUCCACAUCAGGACAAGAGGACAUCCAUUGUCCAAUAAUCGCCUUUGAUUGUUGGGCGUGUUGCUAACAGACAGAACGCAUUUAAG